This is a long non-coding RNA of Cygnus olor (mute swan), 304 nucleotides long. RefSeq lists it as uncharacterized. The record is from RefSeq and is a predicted model, not a curated record. The transcript has 3 exons. Lineage: Eukaryota; Metazoa; Chordata; Aves; Anseriformes; Anatidae.
UGUUUUUUUUUUUUUUUUUUCAUGUGCCUGUUUCGAUAAAGGAUAUGGCUGGGAGGAGGCUGAAGGCACUCAGUCUGGCCAGAACAGUUGUCUGAGGUUACCGGGACCACUCAGAUCACCACCUUCUGUCCUAAAUAGACUUGCUCCAUUCUCAGGCACCGGUAUCUAACUUUUAAAUGAAUCCUUCAAGGAGGAAAAUCAAGGUACAUACAUAUACUUUCAGUUCUGAAUGGGGAAAAUGUCCUCUAAUUGUAGUCAUAAAUGUGGAGAAAUAAUUUCAUUCACUUCAGUUUUCUAAAAGCAG